GUCAGUGUGGCCGAGUGGUUAAGGCGACAGCCUCGAACUUGCGAAAAUUUCGAUUAUUCGCUCGAAAUUCGCUAUAGAAAGCUGUUGGGUUCGCCCGCGCCGGUUCGAAUCCGGUCGCUGACG
RNAcentral lists this transfer RNA (123 nucleotides) under Aspergillus ustus. It matches the Rfam family "tRNA". From Rfam's summary of the family: Transfer RNA (tRNA) molecules are approximately 80 nucleotides in length. Their secondary structure includes four short double-helical elements and three loops (D, anti-codon, and T loops). Lineage: Eukaryota; Fungi; Ascomycota; Eurotiomycetes; Eurotiales; Aspergillaceae. The record is from Rfam by way of RNAcentral.